Molecule: ribosomal RNA, 1401 nt
Filed under: uncultured archaeon
Lineage: Archaea
Description: 16S ribosomal RNA
Rfam family: Archaeal small subunit ribosomal RNA
Source: RNAcentral
GGAGAUCACCGCUAUCAGGAUCCGAUUUAGACAUGCUAGGUGAAUGUGGUUCGUCCGCAUGCCGAACAGCUCAGUAACACGUAGUUAAUCUGCCCUCAGGUUGGAGAUAACCCCGGGAAACUGGGAUUAAUAUCCGAUAGGUUUUGGAUACUGGAACGUUCCUAAACCCAAAGCUCCGGCGCCUGAGGAUGAGACUGCGGUGGAUUAGGCUGUUGUUGGUGUAAUGGACCAACAAACCUAUAAUCCAUACGGGCGUUGAGAGACGUAGCCCGGAGAUGUGUUCUGAGACAAGAAUACAGACCCUACGGGGUGCAGCAGUCGCGAAACCUUUACAAUGUCUUCACGGACGAUAGGGGGAUCCUGAGUGCUCUAGCAAAGCUAGGGCUUUUAUCUACUUCAAAAGGGUAGGUGAAUAAGCAGUGGGCAAGACGGGUGCCAGCCGCCACGGUAAUACCCGCACUGCAAGUGGUGAUCGCGUUUAUUGGGUCUAAAGCGUUCGUAGCCGGUUUGACAAAUUUUUGGUGAAAUCCUGUGUAAAACAUAGGGCGUGCCAAAAACACUGCCAGACUAGGGACCGGGAAAAGCUGAGGGUACUUUAGGGGUAGGGGUUAAAUCCUGUAAUCCUUAAAGGACCACCUGUGGCGAAGGCGCUCAGCUGGAACGGCUCCGACGGUGAGGGACGAAAGCCUGGGGAGCGAACGGGAUUAGAUACCCCGGUAGUCCAGGCCGUAAACGAUGCCCGUUUGGUGUAUCAUUUUCCUUCGAGGAGAUGAUGUGCCGUAACGUAGGUGUUAAACGGGCCACCUGGGGAGUACGGUCGCAAGACUGAAACUUAAGGGAAUUGGCGGGGGAGCACCUCAAGGGGUGAGGCCUGCGGUUUAAUUGGAUUCAACGCCAGACAUCUUACCAGAGAAGACAGCAUUAUGACGGUCACUCUGAAGGGGUUACCUGAGGAGCUGAGAGGAGUUGCAUGGCCAUCGUCAGCUCGUGCCGUGAGGCGUGCAGUUAAGUCUGUUAACGAGCGAGACCCACAUCUUUAGUUGCUACGUUAUUCUUCGGAGUAGCGGCACUCUAAAGAGACCGCUGGUGAUAAAUCAGAGGAAGGAGUGGGCGACGGUAGGUCCGUAUGGCCCGAAUUCUCUGGGCUACACGCGGGCAACAAUGGCCAGGACAAUAGGUUGCAACACCGAAAGGUGGAGCUAAUCCCCGAAACCUGGUCUUAGUUCAGAUCGAGGGUUGAAACUCACCCUCGUGACGCCGGAAUCCCUAGUAAGCGAAAGUCACUAUCUUUCGCUGAAUACGACCCUGCUCCUUGCACACACCGCCCAUCAAGCCAUCCGAGUGAAGUUUUGGUGAGGAUCUUCUUUUUGGGAGAUUCGAAUCAAGGUUUUACAAGGCGGG